RNAcentral lists this ribosomal RNA (252 nucleotides) under uncultured bacterium. Its description in RNAcentral is "partial 16S ribosomal RNA". It matches the Rfam family "Bacterial small subunit ribosomal RNA", at positions 524 to 776 of the family's 1533-position model. The record is from RNAcentral.
UACGGAGGAUCCGAGCGUUAUCCGGAUUUAUUGGGUUUAAAGGGUGCGUAGGCGGCGAGUUAAGUCAGCGGUAAAAGCCCGGGGCUCAACCCCGGCCCGCCGUUGAAACUGGCAGUCUUGAGUGCAGUAGAGGUAGGCGGAAUUCGUGGUGUAGCGGUGAAAUGCUUAGAUAUCACGAAGAACUCCGAUUGCGAAGGCAGCUUACUGGACGGUAACUGACGCUGAGGCUCGAAAGCGUGGGGAGCAAACAGG